Molecule: long non-coding RNA, 128 nt
Organism: Lontra canadensis (Northern American river otter)
Lineage: Eukaryota; Metazoa; Chordata; Mammalia; Carnivora; Mustelidae
Exons: 3
Source: RefSeq, a predicted model, not a curated record
AAAGGGUAUCUAAGGCUGGUUCUUGGGCCUUCCCCACCCUUCCUUACCAAGCCAGGAUGUUUCAGACGGUCCCCGACACAUCGUCUUACGUCAAGGGAAAUUUGUUGAGACUGGGUAGUAUCACCCCC